Molecule: ribosomal RNA, 2788 nt
Filed under: Escherichia coli
Lineage: Bacteria; Pseudomonadati; Pseudomonadota; Gammaproteobacteria; Enterobacterales; Enterobacteriaceae
Description: bacterial LSU rRNA
Rfam family: Bacterial large subunit ribosomal RNA
Source: RNAcentral
AGCGUACACGGUGGAUGCCCUGGCAGUCAGAGGCGAUGAAGGACGUGCUAAUCUGCGAUAAGCGUCGGUAAGGUGAUAUGAACCGUUAUAACCGGCGAUUUCCGAAUGGGGAAACCCAGUGUGUUUCGACACACUAUCAUUAACUGAAUCCAUAGGUUAAUGAGGCGAACCGGGGGAACUGAAACAUCUAAGUACCCCGAGGAAAAGAAAUCAACCGAGAUUCCCCCAGUAGCGGCGAGCGAACGGGGAGCAGCCCAGAGCCUGAAUCAGUGUGUGUGUUAGUGGAAGCGUCUGGAAAGGCGCGCGAUACAGGGUGACAGCCCCGUACACAAAAAUGCACAUACUGUGAGCUCGAUGAGUAGGGCGGGACACGUGGUAUCCUGUCUGAAUAUGGGGGGACCAUCCUCCAAGGCUAAAUACUCCUGACUGACCGAUAGUGAACCAGUACCGUGAGGGAAAGGCGAAAAGAACCCCGGCGAGGGGAGUGAAAAAGAACCUGAAACCGUGUACGUACAAGCAGUGGGAGCACGCUUCGGCGUGUGACUGCGUACCUUUUGUAUAAUGGGUCAGCGACUUAUAUUCUGUAGCAAGGUUAACCGAAUAGGGGAGCCGAAGGGAAACCGAGUCUUAACUGGGCGUUAAGUUGCAGGGUAUAGACCCGAAACCCGGUGAUCUAGCCAUGGGCAGGUUGAAGGUUGGGUAACACUAACUGGAGGACCGAACCGACUAAUGUUGAAAAAUUAGCGGAUGACUUGUGGCUGGGGGUGAAAGGCCAAUCAAACCGGGAGAUAGCUGGUUCUCCCCGAAAGCUAUUUAGGUAGCGCCUCGUGAAUUCAUCUCCGGGGGUAGAGCACUGUUUCGGCAAGGGGGUCAUCCCGACUUACCAACCCGAUGCAAACUGCGAAUACCGGAGAAUGUUAUCACGGGAGACACACGGCGGGUGCUAACGUCCGUCGUGAAGAGGGAAACAACCCAGACCGCCAGCUAAGGUCCCAAAGUCAUGGUUAAGUGGGAAACGAUGUGGGAAGGCCCAGACAGCCAGGAUGUUGGCUUAGAAGCAGCCAUCAUUUAAAGAAAGCGUAAUAGCUCACUGGUCGAGUCGGCCUGCGCGGAAGAUGUAACGGGGCUAAACCAUGCACCGAAGCUGCGGCAGCGACACUAUGUGUUGUUGGGUAGGGGAGCGUUCUGUAAGCCUGUGAAGGUGUACUGUGAGGUAUGCUGGAGGUAUCAGAAGUGCGAAUGCUGACAUAAGUAACGAUAAAGCGGGUGAAAAGCCCGCUCGCCGGAAGACCAAGGGUUCCUGUCCAACGUUAAUCGGGGCAGGGUGAGUCGACCCCUAAGGCGAGGCCGAAAGGCGUAGUCGAUGGGAAACAGGUUAAUAUUCCUGUACUUGGUGUUACUGCGAAGGGGGGACGGAGAAGGCUAUGUUGGCCGGGCGACGGUUGUCCCGGUUUAAGCGUGUAGGCUGGUUUUCCAGGCAAAUCCGGAAAAUCAAGGCUGAGGCGUGAUGACGAGGCACUACGGUGCUGAAGCAACAAAUGCCCUGCUUCCAGGAAAAGCCUCUAAGCAUCAGGUAACAUCAAAUCGUACCCCAAACCGACACAGGUGGUCAGGUAGAGAAUACCAAGGCGCUUGAGAGAACUCGGGUGAAGGAACUAGGCAAAAUGGUGCCGUAACUUCGGGAGAAGGCACGCUGAUAUGUAGGUGAAGUCCCUCGCGGAUGGAGCUGAAAUCAGUCGAAGAUACCAGCUGGCUGCAACUGUUUAUUAAAAACACAGCACUGUGCAAACACGAAAGUGGACGUAUACGGUGUGACGCCUGCCCGGUGCCGGAAGGUUAAUUGAUGGGGUUAGCGGUAACGCGAAGCUCUUGAUCGAAGCCCCGGUAAACGGCGGCCGUAACUAUAACGGUCCUAAGGUAGCGAAAUUCCUUGUCGGGUAAGUUCCGACCUGCACGAAUGGCGUAAUGAUGGCCAGGCUGUCUCCACCCGAGACUCAGUGAAAUUGAACUCGCUGUGAAGAUGCAGUGUACCCGCGGCAAGACGGAAAGACCCCGUGAACCUUUACUAUAGCUUGACACUGAACAUUGAGCCUUGAUGUGUAGGAUAGGUGGGAGGCUUUGAAGUGUGGACGCCAGUCUGCAUGGAGCCGACCUUGAAAUACCACCCUUUAAUGUUUGAUGUUCUAACGUUGACCCGUGAUCCGGGUUGCGGACAGUGUCUGGUGGGUAGUUUGACUGGGGCGGUCUCCUCCUAAAGAGUAACGGAGGAGCACGAAGGUUGGCUAAUCCUGGUCGGACAUCAGGAGGUUAGUGCAAUGGCAUAAGCCAGCUUGACUGCGAGCGUGACGGCGCGAGCAGGUGCGAAAGCAGGUCAUAGUGAUCCGGUGGUUCUGAAUGGAAGGGCCAUCGCUCAACGGAUAAAAGGUACUCCGGGGAUAACAGGCUGAUACCGCCCAAGAGUUCAUAUCGACGGCGGUGUUUGGCACCUCGAUGUCGGCUCAUCACAUCCUGGGGCUGAAGUAGGUCCCAAGGGUAUGGCUGUUCGCCAUUUAAAGUGGUACGCGAGCUGGGUUUAGAACGUCGUGAGACAGUUCGGUCCCUAUCUGCCGUGGGCGCUGGAGAACUGAGGGGGGCUGCUCCUAGUACGAGAGGACCGGAGUGGACGCAUCACUGGUGUUCGGGUUGUCAUGCCAAUGGCACUGCCCGGUAGCUAAAUGCGGAAGAGAUAAGUGCUGAAAGCAUCUAAGCACGAAACUUGCCCCGAGAUGAGUUCUCCCUGACUCCUUGA